GAUGAACGCUGGCGGCGUGCUUAACACAUGCAAGUCGAACGGGACAAGUAGCAAUAUUUGUCUAGUGGCGAACGGGUGCGUAACACGUGGGCAACAUGCCUGGAAGAGCGGGAUAGCCCGGGGAAACUCGGAUUAAUACCGCAUGUGACAACGGGGCAAAUUCGCCCUGUUUUCAAAGGUGGGGACCGCAAGGCCUGCCGCUUCCAGAUUGGCCCGCGUCCUAUCAGCUAGUUGGCGGGGUAACGGCCCACCAAGGCGACGACGGGUAGCUGGUCUGAGAGGACGACCAGCCACACUGGAACUGAGACACGGUCCAGACACCUACGGGUGGCAGCAGACGAGAAUCUUUCACAAUGGGGGAAACCCUGAUGGAGCGACGCCGCGUGGAGGAUGACGGUCUUCGGAUUGUAAACUCCUGUCAUGAAAGAACAAGCGGAGCGGGUGAAUAGCCCGCCGAGUUGAUAGUAUUUCAAGAGGAAGGGACGGCUAACUUCGUGCCAGCCGCCGCCGUAA
Molecule: ribosomal RNA, 513 nt
Filed under: uncultured bacterium
Lineage: Bacteria
Description: partial 16S ribosomal RNA
Rfam family: Bacterial small subunit ribosomal RNA
Source: RNAcentral